RNAcentral lists this long non-coding RNA (1480 nucleotides) under Homo sapiens (human). RNAcentral describes it as "HSALNT0138126". Lineage: Eukaryota; Metazoa; Chordata; Mammalia; Primates; Hominidae. The record is from RNAcentral.
CUGGUUUGACUGAUUUCUCUUGCUAAAUUCUACCUUAAGGAUUUGUUUAGAUUUAGUUGACAUCAAGAAAAGGCAUUAUGGUUUUUGUUUUUACUGAAAAAUUCUUUUUUUUUUUAGAGAUGGUAUCUCACUCUGUCACCCAGGCUAAAGUGCAAUGGUGUGAUCAUAGCUCAAUGCAGCCUCGACUUCCUGGGCUCAAGUGAGGAAGGAUCCAGCCACCACGCUUAGUGAAAAAUUUUUUAUAUCCUCUUGAACUAUUGAUGAACAAAUAGGAAAAUAUUAUAGUUUUUUUUGUUGUUGUUGUUUAUUUGGGUUUUUUUGAGACAGGGUCCCACUCUGUUGCCUGGGCUGGAGUGGAGCAAUUCUGGCUCACUGCUGCCUUGACCUCCCUGGCUUAAGCGAUCCUCCUGCCUCAGGGUGGCUGAGACUACAGGUGUUUGAGUAGCUGGGACUACAGGCAUGCACCACCACACUUGGCUAAUUUUUGUAUUUUCUUUUGUAGAGACGGGGUUUCACCAUGUUGUCCAGGUUGGUCUUGAACUCCUGGGCUCAGCUCAAGGGAUCCGUCCAACUCGGCUUCCCAUUGUUGGGAUUAGAGGCGUGAGCCACUGUGCCCAGCCAUGGGUAUUUCUUCAGGCUAGAUUCCUAGAAGAGAAUUGGUGGGGCCAGGGGCAUAAAUAUUUUUCAGGCUCUGGGUACACUUUGCUCACUUGCUUUUUGGAAAGGUGUUGCCAAUUUAUGCUCCCAUCAGUGGUAGAUCAUCAGAGGCUGAUCAUUCCUUGCGCUCACCCUAGCAAAGGCCUAUUCUUAAUUUUUAAAGUUCAAUGGUUUUCAAUUUAAAGCAACAUACCAAUAAAGUUUCAAUCAAAGAGAUUAAUUCUGGGCUAUUGACAAGCAUUCUGAUCCCUUUCUUUUGUGACAGAUUGGGGGAAAAAUCCUACAUUUAAGUUUAAAAAAUCCACAACACAUGGUGAGUAUGUGGAGAAAUCAGAAUCUUCACCCACUGCAGGUGGGAAUGUAAAACAGCGCAGAUGCCGUGGAAAACAGUCUGUCAGUAUCUUAAAAUUUAAACACAGAAUUACCAUAUGACCCAGCAAUUCUGCUCCUACCUAUAUAACAAGAGAAAGGAAAACCUAUGUCCAUAGAGAAGAAAAAAGCUAGACACAAAAGACCACAUAUUCUAUGAUUCCAUUUACAUGAAAUGUCUAGAAUGGGGAAGUCUACAGAGAUAGAAAGUAGGCUGGGCGUGGUGGCUCAUGCCUGUAAUUCCAGCACUUUGAGGGGUGGAGGCGGGUGGAUAACUAAGGUCAGGAGUUUGAGACCAGCCAGGCCAACAUGGUGAAACCCCGUCUCUACUUAAGAAAUAUAAAAAAAUUAGCUGGGCAUGGUGGUGCACAUCUGUAAUCCCAGCUAAUCAGGAGGCUGAGGCAGGAGAAUUGCUUGAACCUGGGAGGUGGAGGUUGCAGUGAGCCAAGACUGC